This is a long non-coding RNA of Bombus pascuorum, 1395 nucleotides long. RefSeq lists it as uncharacterized. NCBI's taxonomy places the organism in Eukaryota, Metazoa, Arthropoda, Insecta, Hymenoptera, Apidae. The record is from RefSeq and is a predicted model, not a curated record. The transcript is spliced from 3 exons.
AGGCACGGGCACGCGCGCAUCCACGGCAGAUCGUACGCGGAGUCGCGUCGUAAACAAGGAUCCGUUUCAUCGGUAGCCGUAUUCCCAAAGUUUCCUCGCGAAUCUGUCCGCCGUACGUGGAUUUUUUGCCACAUCACUAAGCGAGUCGUUUAUCAAGCCACGGCGUAGAGACGUUCGCAACCGAAAGACACCGCAAACGCAACAUUUUCCGAACGUUUUCACGGUGGUGUUAGUGCGCGGGUUGGCAAGCGUUGCUCGAGUGCAGUAGAGCUGCCAUUUUCCGUGUGUUGCGUUACACGAGCGAGAAAAAGAUAGAUAUCCGUGUACGGACAAGGACGGUAAAGGUCCCGAACACACGGAUUUUCGUGGUGUAAAAGACAGAGGAAUUCGUCGUGCGUUGUUUCAUCCCGGGACUGUAACUCGUAAUCGCUGCGAAAACGAAGAAAAUAAAAGCAAAGGUGGAGGGACGAGUCGCGGGAGCGCGCGCCCGAAACUGGCCCGACGAUCAAGAGAUGCUGCACGACAAUGCUGCCGGUGAUCGACGACGACCAUGAGUUUUCCAAUUUACGCUUUAUCGGGACAGAUUGCGCGCUAACGCGAAAUAGAAGAAACAGAAAGGCGGUCGUGUGGCAGGUUUACAACGUGCCGUCCGGUGAUUCGUCGUUGUCGAUGGGAAACGUGGAUGGUUUUUUCUCUUUCGGUGAAAAAUAAGUGGAUCCAUCCGCACACGUUUAUAACAGUCGCGGCGACGCGAAUGAUCGUGGGAUUGGCGUUUUUCGACAGCCGAAAUCUAUCGUUUCCGCAAUUUCUUUCAACCCCGGUGAACAGGUUUCGUUCCUUUCCGCGUAAUUUUACGUAAUUUCCAUGAUCGAGUCGCAUCUUCUUUUUCUUUUUUUUCCUUUAUUUUCCUCGUCUUUCUCGUCCCCUCUCUUUUUAUCUCGUCUCUUAGGUUCUUUCGUCUUUCUAGCGAUUCGUUUCCAAACGGCCAAGAACCAUGUACGCGAUCCUCGGCCAUUUUUCGGGUAAUUCGGUUACCGAGAAGAGAGAAGCGUUUUGCCAGUUCCAUUAAGCUAGAGGCUGAUAUCAGAAGAGAGGGGAAAGAAAAUCGAUUAUGGAGCUUCACGACGCGUCCACUCUGAAAGCAUCGGUGCCUUACGCGAUAAAUCCUUCUUGUGAAAGCAGAUAUUGCGUUAGCUACCCUCUGACCGGAAGUAGCUGCUACUUUUAAAUUUCAUCCACGAUAUAUCGACGAUUUUCUAUUCCCGAUAAAAUCGUCGAAUAUUCUUUGCUCUCGAUCGUCCCGAAUUUAACGCUCUAUUACCGUCUGACCGGAUCGAACGUUUAACGUGGUUGCUAUUUUCAACGUGAGCAGGAAGAAUAAAUUGGCCGUUUGCG